GAUGAACGCUGGCGGCGUGCCUAACACAUGCAAGUCGAGCGAUUUACUUCGGUAAAGAGCGGCGGACGGGUGAGUAACGCGUGGGUAACCUGCCCUGUACACACGGAUAACAUACUGAAAGGUAUGCUAAUACGGGAUAACAUAAGAGAGUCGCAUGGCUUUCUUAUCAAAGCUUUUGCGGUACAGGAUGGACCCGCGUCUGAUUAGCUAGUUGGUAAGGUAACGGCUUACCAAGGCGACGAUCAGUAGCCGACCUGAGGGGGUGAUCGGCCACAUUGGAACUGAGACACGGUCCAAACUCCUACGGGAGGCAGCAGUGGGGAAUAUUGCACAAUGGGCGAAAGCCUGAUGCAGCAACGCCGCGUGAGCGAUGAAGGCCUUCGGGUCGUAAAGCUCUGUCCUCAAGGAAGAUAAUGACGGUACUUGAGGAGGAAGCCCCGGCUAACUACGUGCCAGCAGCCGCCGUAA
Molecule: ribosomal RNA, 468 nt
Filed under: uncultured bacterium
Lineage: Bacteria
Description: partial 16S ribosomal RNA
Rfam family: Bacterial small subunit ribosomal RNA
Source: RNAcentral